This 25-nucleotide non-coding RNA is filed under the name Rattus norvegicus (Norway rat). The record is from RNAcentral. Lineage: Eukaryota; Metazoa; Chordata; Mammalia; Rodentia; Muridae.
GAAGAUCUGUUAGGAUGAUUGGAAC